This 112-nucleotide small RNA is filed under the name Leeuwenhoekiella aequorea. RNAcentral's name for it is "Flavo-1 RNA". It matches the Rfam family "Flavo-1 RNA". Lineage: Bacteria; Pseudomonadati; Bacteroidota; Flavobacteriia; Flavobacteriales; Flavobacteriaceae. The record is from RNAcentral.
UUGCGGCAGGGAUAGCAGCGACAUCCUUUUUUGUUACUCAGAACAUUUUACGCCUUUUGCGUAUAAUGUGCCACUGAUACCCAAAAAGAUAUAGCGAAUAGCCCGGUUGCUG